GUCGGCGGGCGGCAGGUGCGGCUCGAGCACGCCGCCGCGCAGGCGGCCCGCCUCGCCGCGCGCGAGGAGCCCGCCGAUCGGGUCCGCGCCGCCGCCACC
This 99-nucleotide transfer RNA is filed under the name Microbacterium oleivorans. RNAcentral's name for it is "tRNA-Ala". Lineage: Bacteria; Bacillati; Actinomycetota; Actinomycetes; Micrococcales; Microbacteriaceae. The record is from RNAcentral.